AGAAGGGAUUGCAUUGUGGCCGUCCCUUCUGAAAGCUAUCCAGAAAACUGAUGUGAGAAAACUCGAGUUAUUCAGCUACAAAUAAUAGCGAUUUGAAAAUACAAAGUGUUCGAGUGCUCACUGCUGAAAGAGUCAUCCAGCUCUUGGUUCAGUCAAGAAGCCGGCGUCUUCAUGGCUUACAGGAGUGGUCUUUCUAGUCUGAGUCUCUGGUCCUGCCAGCCUUGAAGUUUGGAGAAACCAAAAGGGAGAUGCCAUGUUCCUGUGACUCUGGAGCCAUGGAGUCCGGGCCGACGAGCCCUCCCGGGGGAACCCAGUGCCUAUGGUGGGAGCACCAUGGCACUCCACACCGGCCGCCUGCUGGGCUUAUCUCACUCCCUGAAACUGGACUUGCUCGUCCAGCCUGGACAGAGUGGCAGCACUGGCGGGAGCGAGCCUCUUCUGUGGGUCAUUGGACAGUGAUGACGCGUUUCUGUAUAGAAAGCAUGCCAUGACUUUCCCGACCUAGUAGAUUCCUGGAAGUGAAUGCACGCAGUGGGGGCCUUGAGGCCCUUCUAGGAGCGCUCCUUUGAAGAAAAGUGGCAGCAGCUGUGCUUUAAGCUAGCUACUCCGAAAGGGAGGUGCAGAAGCAGUGGUGAGGUUUCCACGGGGAGAGCUGGGCUCAGCCUCAUUUGGGCAACUCUGCUACGCCUUGUUCCAGUCCUACGGUGAUCACAGAAUAAAGAGAGAAGCCAGAGCAGCUGCA
Molecule: long non-coding RNA, 742 nt
Organism: Tupaia belangeri chinensis (Chinese tree shrew)
Lineage: Eukaryota; Metazoa; Chordata; Mammalia; Scandentia; Tupaiidae
Exons: 2
Source: RefSeq, a predicted model, not a curated record